Molecule: ribosomal RNA, 253 nt
Filed under: uncultured bacterium
Lineage: Bacteria
Description: partial 16S ribosomal RNA
Rfam family: Bacterial small subunit ribosomal RNA
Source: RNAcentral
UACGGGGGGUGCGAGCGUUGUCCGGAAUUACUGGGCGUAAAGCGCGUGUAGGCUGCUUCGCAAGUCGGAUGUGAAAGCCCUGGGCUCAACCCAGGAAGUGCAUUCGAAACUGCAGAGCUGGAGUCCUGGAGAGGAAGGCGGAAUUCUCGGUGUAGAGGUGAAAUUCGUAGAUAUCGAGAGGAACACCGGUGGCGAAGGCGGCCUUCUGGACAGUGACUGACGCUGAGACGCGAAAGCGUGGGGAGCAAACAGG